This 466-nucleotide ribosomal RNA is filed under the name Vreelandella stevensii. Its description in RNAcentral is "partial 16S ribosomal RNA". It matches the Rfam family "Bacterial small subunit ribosomal RNA", at positions 338 to 795 of the family's 1533-position model. The record is from RNAcentral. Lineage: Bacteria; Pseudomonadati; Pseudomonadota; Gammaproteobacteria; Oceanospirillales; Halomonadaceae.
CCUACGGGAGGCAGCAGUGGGGAAUAUUGGACAAUGGGGGCAACCCUGAUCCAGCCAUGCCGCGUGUGUGAAGAAGGCCCUCGGGUUGUAAAGCACUUUCAGUGAGGAAGAACGCCUGGUGGUUAAUACCCAUCAGGAAAGACAUCACUCACAGAAGAAGCACCGGCUAACUCCGUGCCAGCAGCCGCGGUAAUACGGAGGGUGCGAGCGUUAAUCGGAAUUACUGGGCGUAAAGCGCGCGUAGGUGGCUUGAUAAGCCGGUUGUGAAAGCCCCGGGCUCAACCUGGGAACGGCAUCCGGAACUGUCAAGCUAGAGUGCAGGAGAGGAAGGUAGAAUUCCCGGUGUAGCGGUGAAAUGCGUAGAGAUCGGGAGGAAUACCAGUGGCGAAGGCGGCCUUCUGGACUGACACUGACACUGAGGUGCGAAAGCGUGGGUAGCAAACAGGAUUUAGAUACCCCUGUAGUC